RNAcentral lists this long non-coding RNA (11226 nucleotides) under Homo sapiens (human). RNAcentral describes it as "non-protein coding lnc-KRTDAP-1:2". Lineage: Eukaryota; Metazoa; Chordata; Mammalia; Primates; Hominidae. The record is from RNAcentral.
CUGCUGCAGCAGCCACCACACAUGGAGGGCGGAGGGACAGCCACCCUGUUGUGUAGCUCGGAGCAGCUGUGUCCUUCAGUGCAGGUCCAGCCAAGAGCCGUGGGCCACAGAUGACGCUGGUGGGGAAGCAGAGGGCAGACUAGGCAGAGGCAAGGCUUUCCUGUGCCCUGAGCUGUCAGAGAUGGGCCAGGGCCUUCAGCUUCCUCGAUAGGGCAGAAGUGACCACGCUGGCUCCAUUCAGCAAAGGACGUGGACGGAGCUGCCGGGCUUGUCUGAGAGGAGGAGAAAUGUGGAAUUGAGUGAGGCUCUCUAAGAAGGUUCUGCUGGAGUUGAGAAAAAUUAGGGUGAGGCACCUCCCCGAUUUUAUGUCCUUUUUCCUGGGUCCAGCCUCCUGAACAGCUACCAUUCGCUUCUGUGAGACACCUGUCGGUGCCUCCUUUUCCAGCCCUUAAUGGAACGUUCCUCUCCCAGCCACCUCAGACUUCCCAUACCACCCUCCCUGGACAGGAAGCGUUUUUACAGGAGUUUGAAGCUUCAGGAGUGCCCUCCGGCCACAUGAAGACAAGGCGCUAACAAACAUGGCGUUCUGCAAAUUGCACCAUCGCCAACUCCUGUCUUACUCUCACAGAGGUCUCUUGGGCUCUUCUGAGAAGGGUGAAUGAACUUGGUUGGAGGGAAGAGAGGGGUUUGGUGGCUCUUAGUAAAAUUGCUUCACGCAGUGACCUUUGGCAGUUUAGGAUAAUAACCUGUGCAGAGAGAGGGUCUCCUGUCCUGAAGUCACAGCCCGGAUCUCCAGGCUGGCUCUGCUGCCUCUGAAUGAUUUGUGGGUCACACACGCCAACAGCAUCGCCAAGGGCUGACAUCAGCCUGCUUGAGCCACGGAAACUGAAUGGGCAAGGAUGAGUUCCCCAGCACAGAGGGAGGCAUCCUCUGUCAAGACCAUCUGCGCAUGUGCUGUGCAGUCUCCAGUCUGCACUGUGAGCAGUGUGUCUCAACGGCUUUUGAGAACUGCUUCGAGAGGGGACCAGAUGCGCAGAGACAAGCUUCCAGCCUGGCUAGGGACGGACCCUCUGGGGAUGCUCCUCUCUGGCCGGGCAGCAGUAGAAGCACCUGCCUCCAUCCACAUCCAGACGCCAUUCCCUUUUCUUCACCGCUGCUUCCCAUCAGAUGGUCCCCAGGAGUGGCAACCUCCCACUUGGUCUCGCAGGAGUCCCAGUGCUUCUCAGGUGUGUGUGCCACAUCCCUCUUCUCUGAACACACAGUGGUCAGGGUGCCUGCACAGGGAAGGGCACCACAGUCCACCCUGGGAAAGGUCUUCAGUCUUCGGGAAAGAGCCUGUAAGCACCUUGACUGCUCUUCUUCUCUAGGGCAGAGAGCUUUCUUAUCCACAGGGGUCCUUAGUCAGAGAGAGGGAGCGCACUCGGUGAGCUCUUUCAGAGGCAGCAGAGCCCUCUGCCUCUCCCCAAAUCCCUGCUCCUACAAGUCGAAUUAAUCUCUCCUAGAAAUCCAAGUCCUAACUUCUUCCAGGCGUCUUUUUACAUCCACUGUUUGCAUAGCCCACCCUUUCUUCUUUGGAGGAUCCCCUCAGGUAACUUCCAUCUGCUCCUCAGUGUGUCUUACCCCUUCCUUCUGUUCUUUCUUCACCUCCCUCCCUCUCCACCUCCACACUGGACUAUAUCAAAUUCCUGUUCAUUUUUUAGCAUGGCCCAGUCAAAGCAGGUUAAUCUCUCAGUCAGCAGAGGACAUUUCACAAAAAUUGGGGCCGCUAAAUCACAAAAAUAUUCUCUAAGUCCAGGGCCAGCCCAGAAAAAAUGCCCCAAGUCCAGGCAGCCCCCCAGAGUCUGCCGCCGUCUGGAAAAUCCGGCUCAGCUCUUGCUCCUGCACAUCCUCUCCUUUCCAGUGCUCUGUGUCUGGUCCCUGUCCCACCUCCUCUCCUUUCCCCAGUGUCUUCUGUCUGAAUUCUGUGGGCCCAGGACAGCCCCAGCCUUCUCAAAGUCACCUGCAUGUCUCUUGGAUUAGGCAGCUGAGUGCAAGGUAACAACCAGAUCAUGCAUUUUCAUCUCUCCAUGGAUGGUUGGGGAUAGAGCAUCACAAGACAGGCAUUGUGGCUGGGUGUGUUGGCUCAUGCCUAUGAUCCCAGCACUUGGUGGGAGACCAAGGCAGGUGGAUUGCUUGAGCUCAGGAGUUCAAGACCAGCCUGGGUAACAUGGUGACACCUGAUCUCUACAAAAAAAUACAAAAAUUAGCCAGAUGUGGUAGUGCAUGCCUUUAGUUCCAGCUACUCAGGAAGCUGAGGUCAGAGGAUCACUUGAGCCCAGGAGAUCAAAGCUGCAGUGAGCCUAGAUUGUGCCACUGCACUCUAGCCUGUGGGACAGAGUGAGACCCUGAUUUUUUUUUUUUUUAAAGGCAGACAUGGUUCUUGCCUUCAUGAAAUUGACAUUGUAGUUGUGGGGAGGGGUGAGACACUAGUACAGUCUCUACAGUAAUAUAGGAGGUAAUGUGGGGCACGCUUUCGGAAGGAAAUAGAAUUGGAUGAUAGAAUAGGGUAAUCUGUGCUGGGGGCAGCAGGGAAAUGUCCUUGAAGGGGUGACAUUUGAGCCGAGGCCUGUAGGUGCUCUCCAUGGAAGAGCUGGGAGAGGAACACUCGGGGCAGAUGGGACAUUUUUUGCAAAGGCCCUGAGGCGAUACGAAGCUUGGUGUGAUGGAGAAACCGAAAGGAGGCCAGUGUGGCUGGGGGGGUGGGGUGGGAAUGAGCAUGAGGGAAGUGAUGGGAAACCAGGUCAGAGACGUGACAGCUGGGGGUGGAGGGGGUGGAGGGAAAACACAUGGUGCAGGGCCCUGUUGUCCAAGGUGAGGAUUUGGAUUUUAUUCCCAAAGUCAUAGGAAACUCUUGAAGGGUAUAAGGCAGAGGAGUAAGUGAUCUGAUGUAUGGGUUUCAUUUCUUUUAUCAUGUUUUAUUUUCUUUCUUUAUUUUUGUAUGAUGUGUGGGUUUUAAGGAUUCCUCUGGCUUCCUGUUUUGUGCAAGUGUCUUGCCCCACUGUCUGUCAAAACUUUCUUCUUUCCCUGCCAUUAGGGAAGCCCUCAUGAUUCAGCAGCUGCUCAUUUCUCUUUCUCUCUCUCUCUCUAUCUCUUCUGGCUUCACCGUCCUCCUGCAGUUGAAUCCAAAGCUCAUACCAAUCUCUGCACAACAGCCAAUAAAUCAAGAGACGAGAUAUUGGGGGAAGGAAAAAUGACAUUAUUUCAGAGAGCCAGCAGACUGAGGAGAUAGCAGACCUAGUGUCUUGAGAACAAUCUUAAGUAAUAGAAUUUUGGGCUCCUUUUACAUUAGGGAAGGGGGAAGAGAGUGAGGUUUAAGAUCAAGAGGUGACCGAUGAUAGCGGACAUCUGGGUGGCAGUGAGUGUCCGAGGAGGGGCACUGUGCAACUUCUUUGUCCUGCUGAGGUCACAAUGUUCCUAUAAAUCUUUAAUAUGAUGUAGCUGCUAGUGUGUACACCCUCCUUAUCUCCUUGGGGGUGAGUGUUGGGAAGGGAUUAUUGUCAUCCUUGCUUUAAAGUUAAACUGUAAACUAAAUUCUUCCCAUGAUUAGCUUGGCUGAUGUGCAGGAAUGACAAAGACCAUUAGCUUGUGAGGUUAGAAGCAGGGUGGAGUCAGCUAUGUCAGAUUCUGCUGUUACACUCCAUGCAGACCCACUUUCUAGAUGAGGAGGGGGAGCAUAAGUGUACUUUGCGUCUCUUGACUGUCCUCACAUCAUCUGCUUUUAUUAUUUUCUGUAAAUGUUUAUCAUGUCCUGGAUUUGAGUGAAUACCACAAGCUUCCUGGCAAGGAGAUGUUGAUAAAAAUGAGUACGGCUUUCCCCUUGAGUUUUGUCUCGCCUGGCCUCCUGCCCAUUCUUGACUAGAUGGAAGGGACCACAGGCUCUGAGGAUGAUCGAGGAAUCUCCACUUGGCGAAUAAGUCAAGCCACACGCGGUCUCGUGAUCCUUAGACCCCUUCAGUGUCCUCCUCUCCACUCUGGUCACCUAGGGGGCAUUCCUACCCUGCCCCUCUCCAGGUGUUCAGCCUGGGUAGGCGGGAGAAGGAGGAGGCGUUUCAGGUAUGGGAGUACGAACCUGGAGCAAGGCUGCGUUCCUCCUGCUUUCUGCCAGCUGGCCUCACCUUCCCCCUUUUACAGCCUUCCCGUCUGAUCUGGCAUGAGGAACGUCAGGCUUCCAUGACGCACCCCGCCCCUGUCACGUGCACAUCUUUCCUAGGGUUAACAGGGGAUCGUGCUGAAGACAGACUCUCCAGUGCUGCGGAGUAUUCAGAAGCCUUUACAUUGGCCAGUGUUUGUUCCCAGCCCUGCUGAGCCACCCCGUCUAGUAUCUCUGAAGAGUGGAGGGUGAUGCGGGUAUUUGGGAAGAGAGAGUGUGGGAUGGGAUGGGGGUAAGUACAUUGACAAAGCAUGUUUCAUGUUAUUUUAUAUUUGAAGAACAAAACCAAAAACAGUUGUUUGCAUGGCAUGAAGUGGUGAACGUCAGCUUUUGGUUUAUUUUUACGAAAGAUUGAGAGGUACCAAGAAGGGAAGAUGGCGGGCCAAGUCCAGCUGUCAGUGGGGGCUGUCCCCAACAUUUAUUUAGGCUGAGCUUCAAGCCUCUCUCCACGUCGCUAGUUCUUUCACAAUUCCACCCCAGUCCAGCGCCCUCUUCCAUUAGUAGAGCUGUCCAUAACCCAUGUGGGAACGCAUGUAGGAGCUAAACACGCAGGUUUUGAGGUUAGACUACUGGGAUUCACAUCUCAGUUCCCAUCCCAUUGCUAGCUCUGGGUUCCCUGGCAAGUGACUUAACCUGUAGCUAAGCCAUUAAACUCAUGAUUUCAGGGGUUAAAAGCGUGGAAUCUGGAGCUGGCCCUGUGGGCUGCAGUCCUGGCGGCUACUUGUUGGCUGUGUCACCUUGGGCAAGGGCACUCAUUUCUCUGGGCCUCAGUUUCCUCAUUUGUAGAACGAGGAGACUAAUAUACCUACCUUGUAGGUUUGCUGUGAGGAUUGAAAUGAAUAUGUAUAUGUUUGUGUGUAUGUGUAUUACACAUCUUUACACAACCACAUGUUGUGUGUAUACAUAUGUUUAUAGUUGUCUAUAAACAUACGUACUGGGCUGGGCUGGGGACAGUGACUUAUGCCUGUAAUCCCAGCACUUUGGGAAGCCGAGGUGGGCAGAUCGCUUGAGCCCAGGAGUUCCAGACCAACCUGGGCAAUAGGGCAAAAUCUCGCCUUUACAAAAUAUACAAACGAAUUAGCUGGGUGUGGUGGCAUGUACCUAUAUUUCCAGCCACUUUUGAGGCUGAGGUGGGAGGAUUGAUUGAACCCAGGAGGUUGAGGCUGAAGUGAGCUGUGAUUGUGUCACUGCACUCCAGCCUGGACGACAGAGCCAGACUCUGUCUCAAAAAAUCCCAUAUGUACGUAUGUAUGUAUAUGCCUGGUACAUAGCAAGUACUUAGAAUUGCUGGCUGUUACUGUUAUUAAUAUUUAUUUUUGUUUAGGGUAAGGCUAAAUUAUAUGUAAGAAAAAUAAGUCAAUUAAAAAAAAAAAAACCAGUGGCUCUGCCAGGUGUGGUGGCUCUGCCAGGUGUGGUGGCUCACACCUGUAAUCCCAGCACUUUGGGAGGCUGAGCUGAGUGCAUCACCUGAGGUCAGCAGUUCGAGACUAGCCUGGCCAACACGGCGAAACCCUGUCUCCACAAAAAAACACAAAAAAUUAGCUGGGUGUGGUGGCAGGCGCUCCAUAUCAAAAAAAAAAAAAAAAAAAAAAAAGAAGAAGAGCAAGUUUUCUGUCUCUGCUCUCUCUAUUGAGUUGGGAUGUCCAUCUUCUCCUGCCCUCAGACAUCAGUUCUCAGGCCUUCAGAUUUGGACUGAAUUACACCACCAGCUCUCCUGGUUCCCCAGCUUGCAGACAGAUGGGACUUCUCAGCCUCCAUAAUCACAUGAGCCAAUUCCCACAAUAAUCCUCCCUCUCUCUCAGAAUAAAUGAGGUAACAUAUGUGAGAACACUUUGCAAAAUGGCAGAAUACUCCUCUAUUGUAAAUUGUGUGAGAAACAAACUCUGCCAGGUGCCGUGGCUCACACCUGUAAUCCCAGCACUUUGGGAGGCCAAGGCAGGUGGAUCACCUGAGGUCAGGAAUUUGAGACCAGCCUGACUAACAUGGUGAAACCCGUCUCUACUAAAAAUACAAAAAUUAGCCGGGUGUGGUGGCGGGUGCCUGUAAUCCCAUCUACUCGGGAGGCUGAGGCAGGAGAAUCGCUUGAACCCAGUAGGUGGAAGCUGUAGUGAGCCAAGAUCACGCCACUGCACUGCAGCCUCGGUGGUGGUGUGGGAGGGGGUGGUUAAGGAAGCCCUGACUGAUAGGUGCCUGGCAGCUAGAUAAAAGGGAAAAAAGAAAAAGAAAAAGAAAAAGAAAAAACAAACACACUCACUUGUCCAAACCAAAGAAUGGACUUAGGGAUGGGAGAACAGCAGAAGCGAGACCUUAGUGGCUGCCUUGCAAGAUGGGGUGUCUGGCAUGCGGGCACACCUGCAACGAUUUCAACAAGCAAUUUAUUCCCAAGUGCACAAGUCCCUCCCCUAGUUCCUCACUGGCUGAGUACUAUUGGGUUACAAUCUUUCUGCAUGUCACCUAUUGAUAUUUGGGUUAAGGAUUUCAGUAUGUUCUUUAGGGUCUUUCUGCUGCAUUUUAUUGCAGCCCAUAAUGCAUUGCAACUGUCUCAGGACUCUUCAAACAUUUGAGUUAUGGCCAUAGUGACUGGACUUAGCUGAUAAGAAAGAGUACAAUUAUUUACUUUGCAAGCUAGCCUAAACUAAAUUCUUUUUUUUUUUUUUUUUUUGAGACGGAGUUUCACUCUUGUUGCCCAGGCUGGAAUGAAGUGGCGUGAUAUCAGCUCACUGCAACCUCUGCCCACCCGGUUCAAGCAAUUCACCUGCCUCAGCCUCCCGAGUAGCUGGGAUUACAGGUGCCCGGCUAAUUUUUGGAUUUUUAGCACAGAUGGGGUUUCACCAUGUUGGCCAGGCUGGUCUUGAACUCCUGACCACAGGUGAUCUGCCUGCCUUGGCCUCCCAAAGUGCUGGGAUUACAGUCAUGAGCCACUGUGCCUGGCCCAACUAAAUUCUUUGGAGGGGUGGAAGGGGAUGGUUAAGGAGGUCCUGACUGAUAGGCGCCUGGCAGCUAGAUGAAAGGGAAAGCAAGAAGCAGGAUGGGCAGGAGGGGGUGGGGGUGGGGGGGUGACUUAGUACAUUCUGCUUCUUUAUCUCUUUGUAGCCUGUUUAAACCUAUAUUAAGGCACUUAGAAUUGAAAAUGGACCACCACACAUAGGUUAUUUUCUGCAGUUGUAACCAGACAACUGAACUCUUUUUUUUUUUUGAGACCGGGUCUCACUCUGUCAUCCAGGCCGGUGUGCAAUGGCUCCAUCACGGCUCACUACAGCCUUGACCUCCCAGGCUCAAGCAAUCCUCCCACCUCAGCCUCCCAAGUAGCUGGGACUACAGGCGCACACCACUAUGCCUGGCUUAGUUUUAUAUUUUUUGCGGAGUUGAGGCUUUGCCAUGUUGCCCAGGCUGUUCUUGAACUCCUGGGCUCAAGCAAUCUGCCCGGCUUGGCCUCCCAAAGUGCUGGGAUUAUAGGCAUGAGCCAUUGUGCCUGGCCUCAACUGAACUCUACACAGGAGCAGUUCUCUUUUUUUUUAAGAUGGAGUCUCAGUCUGUCGCCCAGGCUGGAGUACAAUGGCGUGAUUUCGGCUCACUGCACCCUCUGCCUCUCAGGUUCAAGCAAUUCUCCUGCCUCAGCCUCCCGAGUAGCUGGGACUACAGGCAUGUGCCACCAUGGCUGGCUAAGUUUUGUAUUUUUAGGAGAGAGGGGGUUUCACCAUGUUGGCCAGGCUGGCCUUGAACUCCUGACCUCAAGCGAUGCUCUUGCCUCGGCCUCCCAAAGUGCUAGGAUUACAGGUGUGAGCCACCAUGUCCAGCCUAGGAGCAGUUCUUAACUUCUUUCCAGUGACCACACAAGGGACAGGUUAUGUCCAAAUGCUGGAUAGACUCCAAAGCAAUCUAGCUGCAACUUCUCCCAUCCUGCUCCUGCUCAAGAGAGGGAAUGUUGACAGCCUCCGAGUCAGAAGUUCCAAGGGGCAGAAGAGAUGCCUCUGUGCCUGUGGGCAUACCUUAGCUGUUCCCAGCUCCCCAGCUCCAGCCCAGGAGAGCAUCAUGCAGUCUCUCCAUUAGAAGCUCUGCACUCCCGUUCCCUUUCUGUGAUCUUUGCCUUCCCUGGUUCUGUCUGUCCCUUGGCAGUGAGCCCCUUGCCUUGCCCCCAACAGUGUGGCCCUCUCUCGAUUCCUUCUCCACCAACAUCCUUUCCCGGAGUAUAGGCAGCUGCCUGGAAACCUUGCUCUACUCUCAUUUUUUGUUGGGGAGUGGAGUGGUAACCUCUAAACAGAAAUCUUCUUGCUCCUUACUGAAGUUGCAGAGUCGGAGCUGGCUGUACCUCCUCUGGCUCUGCUCUAGGGACAGGCUUUCACACUGAGAUGGGCUGUGUCCAUUGGAAAGUUGGUAGUUGAUUACCUCUAUGAAAAAAAAACCUGAAAAAUUCCACCUUUUCUCCAGAACUGAUUCCACGAAUCUAACGUAUGGAUUCCCAAAUGCAGACCUUGGCUGCUUCCACAGUAUUCCUUUGACUUCUACAUUUAGGUACCUGGAGAGGCAUCUCGUGAGGCCAUGUAGAGUGGCAGGCAAGGGCAUGGACUGGGAUGCAGACUGCCUGGAUUCCAGCCUUGCUGGGCUCCCUCCAGCUGUGUGUGCUUGGACAAGUCCUGUAGUCUCCUGGGCUGUGGUUUCCUUCCCUCUAAAUGGAGGAAAUGAUAGUGCCCACCUCAUGGGCUUUUGUGAAGACUGAAUGGGUUGAUGUAUCUAAAACUUUUGGGCAGCUGAGUGCGGUGGCUCACGUCUGUAAUCCCAGCACUUUGGGAGGCCAAGGCGGGCAGAUCACCUGAGGUCAGGAGUUGGAGACCAGCUCGGCCAACAUGGUGAAACCCUGUCUCUACUAAAAAUACAAAAAUUGGCGACAGAAUGAGACUCCGUCUCAAAAAAAAAAAAAAAAAAUAGCUGGGCGUGGUGGGGGCGGCUCCUUUAAUUCCAGCUACUUGGGAGGCUGAGGCAGGAGAAUCACUCGAACCCGGGAGGCGGAGGCUUCAGUGAGCCAAGAUCAUGCCACUGCACUCCAGCCUGGGUGACAGAGCGAGACUCCGUCGCAAAAAUAAAUAAAUAAAUGUCUUGGGUCAGGAUCUGGGACACAGUCAGUACUGUGUGUUUUGUGUUUGUCCUUCCUCAUGGUAACCUGGAUUCCUUGAUCUCCCGGUAGGUCCACUCCUUCAUCACACCUGGGACUACUCUCAUAUUUGUUCCCUCCUAUCCUGAGUCCUAGUGGGUUUUCAUUUGCACUCCAGGGUUCAGCUGCAGACCCACCAGGUGAAGACCCACCAGCACACCUUGCCCUGCUUCUGGGCCACGUCUCUCCAGUGCACCUGCAGGAGACCUCUGUGGAUGCACCGUGUCUCCUAACACUGUCUCCAGCCCACACUGAGCUUGUCUUGCGUGGAAAUCUUUGUCUCUGCUGUUGCCUUUGCCUGGAGCGUCCUUGCCCCACACCCUCUCACAGCUGCCUCUCUGUCAUCUUUCCAAUGUCUGUCCUCAGAGAGCCCUUCCUGGCCACUCCAUCUAAAGGAGUCCUGGGCCAGGUGUGGUGGCCCACACCUGUAAUCUCAGAACUUUGGGAGACGGAGGUGGGAAGAUCACUUGAGGCCAGGGGUUCAAGACCAACCUGGGCAACAUACUGAAACCCCCAUGCCUAUAACAAUAAAAAAGGAAAAAAAGGGGUGGUGGUGCACACUUAGAAUCUCAGCUAUUCUGGUGGCUAAGGCUUGAGCCUAGGAGUUCGAGGCUGCAGUGAGCCAAGAUCGCACCACUGCGCUCCAGCAUGGGCAACAGAGUGAGACCCUGUAUCAAAAAAUAAAUAAAAAUAGGUCAGGUGCAGUGGCUCACUCAUGACUGUAAUCCCAGCACUUUGGGAGGCUGAGGCGGGCAGAUCACCUGAGGUCAGGAGUUCAAGACCAGCUUGGCCAACAUGGUGAAACCCCAUCUCUACAAAAAUACGCAUAGUCGGGCAUGGUGGCGGGUGCUUAGAGUCCCAGCUACUUGGGAGACUGAGGCAGGAGAAUCACUUGAACCUGGGAGGUGGAGGUUGCAGUGAGCCGAGAUCGCACCAUUGCACUCUAGCCUGGGCGACAGAGUGAGACUGUGUCUCAAAAAUAAAUAAAUAAAUAAAUAAAUAAAUAAAUAAAUAAAUAAAUAUAAAAAAGGAAUUCCCCUCUUCUUAUUACACUAAUCAAUUUGUUUUCUUCACGGUGCUUUACCAGAAUCUGAAAUUGUUCUAUUUAUUCAUCUUUUGUCAACAAUUCCUGGUAAGAGGUGCUACUCAGGUCACAGAAUUGGUUUUAGGUUGCUCUAGUAAAAACUUUUUGCUGUCUUUAGCAAAAAGAGCUGUGCACAUAGACAUACUUUCAGGUUAAACCAAUAUGUAUGUUUUUAAUUUGCUACCCCUUGCCACCUCUUGGCCUAGAAACAGGGAGGAGGAAGCCACGCUUUCAUUAUUAUUAACUAUCUCGGGCCUUUUAUUAGUUUGAUCAAGUAAUAAUCAUCUAAAGUGCAUCUCCUUUGUGGGGAGCCCAAAUUCCAGGCCGGAAAAGGUCCAACCGCUGUUCCUCCAACACCGGUGCUUUUCCAGAACGCGAACUUCACGAGAGCUGCCGCUUCCUGUCUUGUUCACCAAAACAUUCUCAGCAGCUUGAACAAGUCCUGGCCGGGAGCAGUUGAUGAAGGAGUGAAUGACAGGCAAAUUGGGAUGCGAGCAGGUGUCCAUGUCUCUGGACAAGGGAGUGUCUUUUUUUCCCCAAAUCCCUGCAACGAGAGCCUAAUAGAGUGCUUUAGAGCACAGGAAACCUUUGAAAUAGCGCCGAACUGUUGACGGAAAUGUAAAUUAAUACAGUUAUUAUGGAAAACAGUACGGAGUUUCCUCAGAAAAGUAAAAGUAGCACUGCCAUAUGAUCCAGAAAUCCCCCUGCUGGGUGUAAAUCCAAAGGAAUUGAAAUCAGUAUGUCAAAGAGAUGCCUGCACACCCAUGUCCAUUGCAGUGUUAUUCACAAUGGCCAAGAUGAGGA